GACGAACGCUGGCGGCGUGGAUUAGGCAUGCAAGUCGAACGGUAUCAUCCUUUCGGGGGUGAGAGAGUGGCGAACUGGUGAGUAACACGUAGGUUAUCUACCCUCAAGACGGGGACAACCCAGGGAAACUUGGGCUAAUACCGGAUGUGAGCAACUUUUAGUUGUUUGAAGGGUGGCGUAAGCUGUCGCUUGGGGAUGAGCCUGCGUCCUAUUAGUUAGUUGGUGAGGUAACGGCUCACCUAGGCAAUGAUAGGUAGGCGGCCUUAACGGGUGGUCGCCCACACUGGGAUUGAGAUACGGCCCAGACUCCUACGGGAGGCAGCAGUCGAGAAUAGUCUACAAUGGUCGGAAGACUGAUAGUGCGACGCCGCGUGAACGAUGAAUCCCUUCGGGGUGUAAAGUUCUUUUAUAUGUGAGCAGUGCUUCUUAUAUUAACAGUAUGGGGAGAGAGAUAUUAGCAUAUGAAUAAGCAACGGCUAACUCCGUGCCAGCAGCCGCGGUAAUA
RNAcentral lists this ribosomal RNA (505 nucleotides) under uncultured bacterium. RNAcentral describes it as "bacterial SSU rRNA". It matches the Rfam family "Bacterial small subunit ribosomal RNA", at positions 28 to 525 of the family's 1533-position model. The record is from RNAcentral.